AAAAUAAGUUAAAAGUAUUUACCUUUGCAAGUAUAGUCCUUAAUUGAUUAAAUCAUAGAUAGCUUUUACUGGGCUCCUAUUCUGGAACGAAGGUUUUAAAAUAACCUAUUAGAAUUCUAACGGGUCUUUAUAUUGGCCGUAGCCUUGACCGGUCAGUUUCAAAGGAUAGAUACGGUUUAAUUGCGUGAAAGGCGAAAACCGGGAAUGGAAUGUGAUUCUGACCCAACAAGCUUGUUUUAUAUGGGUUUAAUAUUCACACUCUGGAUUUUGGGGUCAAAACGAUAUGGUUUGACCCGUAUCGGCUAAUUUAUGUAAACUAGUUACAUAAGCCGAACCGUGCGCGCAAAAGGCGUAACGGGUAACCGUAAGAGUCCUACGCUGUGUUCCUAAGUCAAUAUACUUUAAAGAGGUUGUGGUAUCAGUAGGAUACCUUCCAUAAUACCCGUAACGAGUUUAAGUUCAUUAUACGCCCCGUAGG
RNAcentral lists this long non-coding RNA (478 nucleotides) under Helianthus annuus (common sunflower). The record is from RNAcentral. Lineage: Eukaryota; Viridiplantae; Streptophyta; Magnoliopsida; Asterales; Asteraceae.